AGUGAACGCUGGCGGUAGGCCUAACACAUGCAAGUCGAACGGCAGCACAGUAAGAGCUUGCUCUUACGGGUGGCGAGUGGCGGACGGGUGAGGAAUACAUCGGAAUCUACUUUUUCGUGGGGGAUAACGUAGGGAAACUUACGCUAAUACCGCAUACGACCUACGGGUGAAAGCAGGGGAUCUUCGGACCUUGCGCGAUUGAAUGAGCCGGUGUCGGAUUAGCUAGUUGGCGGGGUAAAGGACCACCAAGGCGACGAUCCGUAGCUGGUCUGAGAGGAUGAUCAGCCACACUGGAACUGAGACACGGUCCAGACUCCUACGGGAGGCAGCAGUGGGGAAUAUUGGACAAAGGGCGCAAGCCUGAUCCAGCCAUACCGCGUGGGUGAAGAAGGCCUUCGGGUUGUAAAGCCCUUUUGUUGGGAAAGAAAAGCAGCAGGUUAAUACCCCGCUGUUCUGACGGUACCCAAAGAAUAAGCACCGGCUAACUUCGUG
RNAcentral lists this ribosomal RNA (492 nucleotides) under uncultured bacterium. Its description in RNAcentral is "partial 16S ribosomal RNA". It matches the Rfam family "Bacterial small subunit ribosomal RNA", at positions 29 to 507 of the family's 1533-position model. The record is from RNAcentral.